Callorhinchus milii (elephant shark) is the source of this 98-nucleotide small nucleolar RNA. RefSeq annotates it as small nucleolar RNA SNORA47. Lineage: Eukaryota; Metazoa; Chordata; Chondrichthyes; Chimaeriformes; Callorhinchidae. The record is from RefSeq and is a predicted model, not a curated record. The transcript has a single exon.
UGGAGGAUUGAGAAAGUGAUACAGCUUUCCAUCUGCUGCAUUUACUGGUGAACUCCUCCUAUAUUAAAAUAUUACAAUAAUAGUGAGUUCUACAAUAC